Molecule: long non-coding RNA, 1169 nt
Organism: Pectinophora gossypiella (pink bollworm)
Lineage: Eukaryota; Metazoa; Arthropoda; Insecta; Lepidoptera; Gelechiidae
Exons: 2
Source: RefSeq, a predicted model, not a curated record
UUAAUCAAAUGUCGGCACGUCGUGCAGCCGCUUUUCAAUAAAGUCAUAAAUCUCUAAAGUUAUCUCGGUGAAAUGGCUAAUGUUUAUGGUCGCUAUAUUCGAGAAAGUAAGCCUGAGGACCCUUUUCAUUCGGUGACCUCACACUGUCAUCGGAAGCUCUUCGCCUAGGUAAUCCACAAUCUUGAUAGACGUUGAUGGAUGGCGUCAAGUGUGGAUAUGCGAAGUAAGCGUCGAAAACUUCGAUGAAUUGUGAAUUUUGAUUGAUUGCUAAGUGUGCGCAGCCUAGCAACAAGCUUAUUCACGCUCUACACUACAUACGUGGAUACCUACACUCUCGUUUAUAACCACCCUAAAUCUCUAUUGGGGUAGACAGAGCUGAUGUAGGGGAGAUGUAGGCAAUGGGAGUCAGUAGGCAAUGGUGAUCACCUCAAAAUAACAAAAACCGAACGCGACCGACCGAUUCAAACAUAAGUACACGCUAGCAUGACGUCACACCCGUGCGCGAGCGGCGACUGGCUCAGCUCGGCCGACGCGUUGGCGAGUAAUGGGUGUUUGAAGAUUUCGUGCCAUUUACAUCUAAUUUUUCGAGUUAAGAAAUACGAAGGUAAUCGGAGUCGGGUGAUCCCAAUUACCUAUAUGAAGACGCCCUAGUUGAAAAAGAAAAUAAAAGAAAAGCCAAAGCUGUGAAAAACGAAGGAAAAAGAACAGGAAAGAAAAUCAAGCCACAGAAGGGUAGUCGUGACAAGGUUAAGAAGAAAAUUCUGUCGGACUCCAAUGGUACUUCGACGUCAGACGUGAACACGGAUGUGUUAUGCCAGGAAAAUGACGAUGCAGAAGAUGCAAGCAGCUUGUGUCUUGUAUGUGGUGAAUUCGGCCGCAACAAUGAAACAUGGUACCGGUGCACUUCUUGUGGGCUCUGGCCUCAUGCCGACUGUUCUGGGUGGAAUACUGCGCACAAUUAUGUUUGCGAUAUGUGUUGAUCACCAUUGCCCACAUACUGAUCACCAUUGCCAACCCAAGUUGACAAUCGGGAUCAAAGUUAUUUUUUUUUUAAAAUGCUAUUGUACCAAAACUAAUAAACCAAAGUAAUUAAAGUUGAUCUCAAUCGAUAGUUAGUAGAGUAAAGUUUAUAAUAAAAACAGAGUAAUAAAUAGUUGAUUCAUAGAUUA